GAAGGUAUAGCUCAGUGGUAGAGCGCAUGCUUAGCAUGCACAAGGUCAUGGGUUUGGUCCCCAGUACCUCCA
This 72-nucleotide transfer RNA is filed under the name Camelus bactrianus (Bactrian camel). It matches the Rfam family "tRNA". From Rfam's summary of the family: Transfer RNA (tRNA) molecules are approximately 80 nucleotides in length. Their secondary structure includes four short double-helical elements and three loops (D, anti-codon, and T loops). RNAcentral also lists the same sequence under 1 other name. Lineage: Eukaryota; Metazoa; Chordata; Mammalia; Artiodactyla; Camelidae. The record is from Rfam by way of RNAcentral.